AAACUUUCAACAACGGAUCUCUUGGUUUUGGCAUCGAUGAAGAACGCAGCGAAAUGCGAUAAGUAAUGCGAAUUGCAGAAUUCCGUGAGUCAUCGAAUCUUUGAACGCACAUUGCGCCCUUUGGUAUUCCGAAGGGCAUGCCUGUUCGAGCGUCAUUA
Molecule: ribosomal RNA, 158 nt
Filed under: Pyrenula anomala
Lineage: Eukaryota; Fungi; Ascomycota; Eurotiomycetes; Pyrenulales; Pyrenulaceae
Description: 5.8S ribosomal RNA
Rfam family: 5.8S ribosomal RNA
About the family: 5.8S ribosomal RNA (5.8S rRNA) is a component of the large subunit of the eukaryotic ribosome. It is transcribed by RNA polymerase I as part of the 45S precursor that also contains 18S and 28S rRNA. Functionally, it is thought that 5.8S rRNA may be involved in ribosome translocation.
Source: RNAcentral